GAUGAACGCUAGCGGCAGGCCUAAUACAUGCAAGUCGGACGGGAUUCAGGAGCUUGCUUCUGAUGAGAGUGGCGCACGGGUGCGUAACACGUAUGUAACCUACCUUUAUCAGGGGGAUAGCCUCUCGAAAGAGAGAUUAAGCCCGCAUAAAAUCACAGCACAGCAUCGUGUAAUGAUCAAAUAUUUAUAGGAUAAAGAUGGGCAUGCGGAACAUUAGCUAGAUGGCGGGGUAACGGCCCACCAUGGCGACGAUGUUUAGGGGAUCUGAGAGGAUGGCCCCCCACACUGGUACUGAGACACGGACCAGACUCCUACGGGAGGCAGCAGUAAGGAAUAUUGGUCAAUGGGCGGAAGCCUGAACCAGCCAUGCCGCGUGCAGGAAGACGGCCCUACGGGUUGUAAACUGCUUUUAUACGGGAAUAAACCCAGAUACGUGUAUCUGGCUGAAUGUACUGUAAGAAUAAGGAUCGGCUAACCCCGUG
RNAcentral lists this ribosomal RNA (482 nucleotides) under uncultured bacterium. RNAcentral describes it as "partial 16S ribosomal RNA". It matches the Rfam family "Bacterial small subunit ribosomal RNA", at positions 28 to 507 of the family's 1533-position model. The record is from RNAcentral.